Long non-coding RNA from Drosophila mauritiana, 1117 nucleotides. RefSeq lists it as uncharacterized. The transcript is spliced from 3 exons. Lineage: Eukaryota; Metazoa; Arthropoda; Insecta; Diptera; Drosophilidae. The record is from RefSeq and is a predicted model, not a curated record.
CAGCUUGUCCUUGGAAAUUCUUAUAAAUUACGAUGACAUCCGCUUGCAACGUGCCAUAUGGGCAGUGAUGGCUGCACUCAUUUGAUCAUAAACAACGACUUCAACACAGUACGCCCGGAAUUAAAAGAUUUACUUCAGAUCCGGGAGGUAUUACCUAUAAGAUGAAAUGUACGUAUGACUGUUGGAAGCGUCCAGAAAAAUUAUGAAAUUCCGCGACCACUAGCUGAGUAACGGAUAUCUGAUAGUCGUGAAAGUCAACUUUAGCAUUCUCUCUCGUUAGGACCUAAAGCUUCUUCCUUAAAGUUAGCCAGAUAAAAUUAAAAGGAUAACAUCCCCUGAACCAGGAUUUUAAGAUGAUGGAAACCCGUCUUGGUAGUAGGUGAAAGGCUGAAAUAGCCAACUAAGAUACUAAAUAUAGAGGUAUAUCGCACACAACCAUUUUAUUUUUGUACACUUUUAUUUUGGAUCGCCAUUAAUAAAGCAGCAGAGGAAAAUGCGAAAUGACUUGAAAAUAAAAACGUCGCUCCAUAGGAUCAACUACCACGAGCAAUUUUGUAAAAUUCUAACUAGGAUAUAUAACAAUAAUUUAUCUGUCUGCGGCAUCCAGCGGGCUUGAGUGAGCCGGACAAAGAUUAGAAGGGAUACGUCAAGCUUAUAAGCUUAAAAAAUAAAAAUAACUAUUUCUCCUAAACUAUUUGGUGGAGUGGUUUCAAUCCCAGCCGAAGAGAAGCCUUUCCGAAAAGAGAAAAUUUCCCUAUUAAAUGAAAUUCCUUGUCAAUGAUUGGGCCUUGCGGAUUUCAGAGGACUUUUCUUAUAGAAAGCAAACACAAAUCUAGUUAAUUUAAAUGCAAGGACAUUUACCUGUUUGCCAAAAAAGAUGAACUAAUUAUCAGUAACAGAACAGGAGAGAACACUAUAGUAGAUUUUCUCUAUUACCAUCCUCAGCAGGUAGGCCUGCGGAGGCCGUUGGCAUCAGAUUGGUCAUUGCCAACAUGUUUUUGGUACAGUAAGAGAAAAAAUACCCUUUUCUCGUAAAGUAAAAGAGUACACUAAUUUCGUUUAAAAGUAUGUAACAGGUAGAAUGAAGCGUUUCCGACCGUAUAAAGUAUAUAUAUUC